AGAGACAGCAGCCGCCGCGGGAAUACGGAGGAUCCAAGCGUUAUCCGGAAUUAUUGGGCGUAAAGCGUGCGUAGGUGGUGGUUUAAGUCCGUUGUGAAAGCCCUGGGCUCAACCUGGGAAUUGCAGUGGAUACUGGGUCACUAGAGUGUGGUAGAGGAUAGUGGAAUUUCCGGUGUAGCAGUGAAAUGCGUAGAGAUCGGAAGGAACAUCUGUGGCGAAGGCGACUAUCUGGGCCAACACUGACACUGAGGCACGAAAGCGUGGGGAGCAAACAGGAUUAGAUACCCCGGUAGUCCCUGUCUCUUAUAC
This 309-nucleotide ribosomal RNA is filed under the name uncultured bacterium. Its description in RNAcentral is "partial 16S ribosomal RNA". It matches the Rfam family "Bacterial small subunit ribosomal RNA", at positions 504 to 807 of the family's 1533-position model. The record is from RNAcentral.